UAAAAAUAUUAAUAUAAUUGGCCAAUUUCUUAGGCAUAUGAUGUAGCGAAUUCCCAUGAAGAUUUAAAUUUAAUUUAACUUAAUUUCAACCAAUGGGAUAGCAACCACCACCGGAAGAUCGCGGAGAAAUCGGUAAACUCAACGGAGUUAAUUCAGAAAAAUACCAAAAAAAAUUGUGUCAUUGUGGUGUCUGCACUCCACAAGAGAAGGGGAGGGAAUCCUUGUGCUGCUCAGACUAUUCACCAGUCCAGGCCAAGAAGGAUGAGCUGAAAGUAGAGUGCAUCACGCAACACCCAGGUUUUUCCAGCACCUGUCUUGAUAGAUGGGUGCUGGAAAUGUCGAUGUAUCACUACAUCGAAGAGCAGGGACAAAUAGGCGAUGACCAGCCCAUUCACAAGUUAUAUCGAUACGUGGCCUAUAGGAACCUUGUCCGUUGGGUUUGGAAGAGGUUGGGGAGAAGGAACCGUUUGCCGCUCCCUGUUUGUGCUCGGGACAAGAUACGUGCUGCUUGGCCUGCUCCGGACAAUGACGGG
Molecule: long non-coding RNA, 533 nt
Organism: Lineus longissimus
Lineage: Eukaryota; Metazoa; Nemertea; Pilidiophora; Heteronemertea; Lineidae
Exons: 3
Source: RefSeq, a predicted model, not a curated record